This 491-nucleotide ribosomal RNA is filed under the name uncultured bacterium. RNAcentral describes it as "bacterial SSU rRNA". It matches the Rfam family "Bacterial small subunit ribosomal RNA", at positions 28 to 506 of the family's 1533-position model. The record is from RNAcentral.
GAUGAACGCUAGCUACAGGCUUAACACAUGCAAGUCGCGGGGUAACAUCUGGUAGAGCUUGCUCUUCCAGGAUGACGACCGGCGCACGGGUGAGUAACGCGUAUCCAACCUGGCCCAUACCACGGGAUAGCCCGUCGAAAGGCGGAUUAAUACCGUAUGCUGUCAUUAAGAUGCAUAUAUUGAUGACGAAAGGACUGGCGGUAUGGGAUGGGGAUGCGUCUGAUUAGGUUGUUGGCGGGGCAACGGCCCACCAAGCCUACGAUCAGUAGGGGUUCUGAGAGGAAGGUCCCCCACAUUGGAACUGAGAUACGGUCCAAACUCCUACGGGAGGCAGCAGUGAGGAAUAUUGGUCAAUGGGCGAGAGCCUGAACCAGCCAAGUAGCGUGCAGGAUGACGGCCCUAUGGGUUGUAAACUGCUUUAUAAGGGAAUAAAGUGAGUCUCGUGAGACUUUUUGCUAUGUACCUUAUGAAUAAGGACCGGCUAAUUCCGU